This 256-nucleotide ribosomal RNA is filed under the name uncultured bacterium. RNAcentral describes it as "partial 16S ribosomal RNA". It matches the Rfam family "Bacterial small subunit ribosomal RNA", at positions 524 to 776 of the family's 1533-position model. The record is from RNAcentral.
CACGUAGGGUGCGAGCGUUGUCCGGAAUUAUUGGGCGUAAAGAGCUCGUAGGCGGUGUGUCGCGUCGGCCGUGAAAACCUGCAGCUUAACUGUGGGCGUGCGGGCGAUACGGGCAGACUGGAGUACUGCAGGGGAGACUGGAAUUCCUGGUGUAGCGGUGGAAUGCGCCAGAUAUCCAGGAGGAACACCGGUGGCGAAGGCGGGUCUCUGGGCAGUAACUGACGCUGAGGAGCGAAAGCCGUGGGGAGCGAACAGG